UACGUAUGGAGCAAGCGUUAUCCGGAUUUACUGGGUGUAAAGGGAGCGUAGGCGGUAAGGCAAGUCUGAUGUGAAAGGCCGGGGCUCAACCCCGGGACUGCAUUGGAAACUGUCGCGCUCGAGUGUCGGAGAGGUAAGUGGAAUUCCUAGUGUAGCGGUGAAAUGCGUAGAUAUAAGGAAGAACACCAGUGGCGAAGGCGGAUUACUGGACGGUAACUGACGGUGAGGCGCGAAAGCGUGGGGAGCAAAAAGG
RNAcentral lists this ribosomal RNA (253 nucleotides) under uncultured Lachnospiraceae bacterium. RNAcentral's name for it is "partial 16S ribosomal RNA". It matches the Rfam family "Bacterial small subunit ribosomal RNA", at positions 524 to 776 of the family's 1533-position model. Lineage: Bacteria; Bacillati; Bacillota; Clostridia; Lachnospirales; Lachnospiraceae. The record is from RNAcentral.